CACAUGGUUUAAGUCAAUCUGUUUGCCAGAAAGGACUUUCUAAUUCCAGAAGUGUUUUCAGCUGGGUUUUUAGAAGGGUCCUUGGGUUUAUUACGUGCUCUUCAGAAUUGCGGAGAAAGCAGGUAGUGGCCAAACGAAAAAAAGCGGAGAUCUACCUAACGGAAAAUCUGAGUCUUCCCAUAAACAAUGUCGCCUAGGACCCAAGUUAGUAGGAGGCUUCUUCCUCCUAUCUUCCUUCCCAAAGUUGGUCAUAAGCAAUCGGCAUCGCGGAUCAUUGCCCUCACUUUCCUAACUGAAAAUGAAUUUGGAAGAAUAAAUAAACAGGUGAUGCCAAGAUACUGGAUGGAGUAUAAUAGGCAGAGCUGAAGUGAAGCUAAAGUCCAACAAACAAAUGAAAGAAAUAUUAUGUAAUACAUAGAGGACGCACACAAAAGAUAAUAAAUUGA
RNAcentral lists this unclassified non-coding RNA (446 nucleotides) under Bombus terrestris (buff-tailed bumblebee). RNAcentral describes it as "misc RNA ENSBTSG00005033334.1". The record is from RNAcentral. Lineage: Eukaryota; Metazoa; Arthropoda; Insecta; Hymenoptera; Apidae.